GCCGCUAUAGCUCAGUGGUAGAGCACUGGUCUCGUAAACCAGGGGUCGUGAGUUUGUACCUCACUGGCGGCA
RNAcentral lists this transfer RNA (72 nucleotides) under Rhipicephalus microplus (southern cattle tick). Its description in RNAcentral is "tRNA-Thr". It matches the Rfam family "tRNA". Rfam says of the family: Transfer RNA (tRNA) molecules are approximately 80 nucleotides in length. Their secondary structure includes four short double-helical elements and three loops (D, anti-codon, and T loops). Further hydrogen bonds mediate the characteristic L-shaped molecular structure. tRNAs have two regions of fundamental functional importance: the anti-codon, which is responsible for specific mRNA codon recognition, and the 3' end, to which the tRNAs corresponding amino acid is attached (by aminoacyl-tRNA synthetases). tRNAs cope with the degeneracy of the genetic code in two manners: having more than one tRNA (with a specific anti-codon) for a particular amino acid; and 'wobble' base-pairing, i.e. permitting non-standard base-pairing at the 3rd anti-codon position. Lineage: Eukaryota; Metazoa; Arthropoda; Arachnida; Ixodida; Ixodidae. The record is from Rfam by way of RNAcentral.